RNAcentral lists this ribosomal RNA (253 nucleotides) under uncultured bacterium. RNAcentral describes it as "partial 16S ribosomal RNA". It matches the Rfam family "Bacterial small subunit ribosomal RNA", at positions 524 to 776 of the family's 1533-position model. The record is from RNAcentral.
UACGUAGGUGGCAAGCGUUGUCCGGAUUUACUGGGCGUAAAGGGAGCGUAGGCGGACUUUUAAGUGAGAUGUGAAAUACCCGGGCUCAACCUGGGUGCUGCAUUUCAAACUGGAAGUCUAGAGUGCAGGAGAGGAGAGUGGAAUUCCUAGUGUAGCGGUGAAAUGCGUAGAGAUUAGGAAGAACACCGGUGGCGAAGGCGACUCUCUGGACUGUAACUGACGCUGAGGCUAGAAAGCGUGGGGAGCAAACAGG